Molecule: ribosomal RNA, 496 nt
Filed under: uncultured bacterium
Lineage: Bacteria
Description: partial 16S ribosomal RNA
Rfam family: Bacterial small subunit ribosomal RNA
Source: RNAcentral
GAUGAACGCUGGCGGCGUGCCUAAUACAUGCAAGUCGAGCGAACAGACGAGGAGCUUGCUCCUCUGACGUUAGCGGCGGACGGGUGAGUAACACGUGGAUAACCUACCUAUAAGACUGGGAUAACUUCGGGAAACCGGAGCUAAUACCGGAUAAUAUAUUGAACCGCAUGGUUCAAUAGUGAAAGACGGUUUUGCUGUCACUUAUAGAUGGAUCCGCGCCGCAUUAGCUAGUUGGUAAGGUAACGGCUUACCAAGGCAACGAUGCGUAGCCGACCUGAGAGGGUGAUCGGCCACACUGGAACUGAGACACGGUCCAGACUCCUACGGGAGGCAGAAGUAGGGAAUCUUCCGCAAUGGGCGAAAGCUUGACGGAGCAACGCCGCGUGAGUGAUGAAGGUCUUCGGAUCGUAAAACUCUGUUAUUAGGGAAGAACAAAUGUGUAAGUAACUAUGCACGUCUUGACGGUACCUAAGCAGAAAGCCACGGCUAACUACGG